GAUGAACGCUGGCGGCAUGCCUAAUACAUGCAAGUCGAGCGAACAGACAAUGAGCUUUUGCCUUUGACGUUAGCGGCGGACGGACGAGUAACACGUGCAUCACCUACCUAUAUUUCUGGGAGAAUUUCGGGAAACCGGAUAUAAUACUGGAUAAUAUAUUGAACCGCAGAGUGCAAUAGAGAAUGACGGCUUUCGUGUCAGUUAUAGAUGGAUCCGCGCCGCAUUAGCUAGUUGGUAAGGUGACGGCUUACCAAGGCGACGAUGCGUAGCCGAUCUGAGAGGGUGAUCGGCCACACUGGAACUGAGACACGGUCCAGACUCCUACGGGAGGCAGCAGUAGGGAAUCUUGCGCAAUGGGCGAAAGCCUGACGCAGCCAUGCCGCGUGAGUGAUGAAGGCCUUCGGAUCGUAAAGCUCUGUUGUUGGGGAAGAACAGCUGUAUAAGUAUACAUGGACGUAUUGACGGUACCUAAUGAAAAAGCACCGGCUAACUACGUG
RNAcentral lists this ribosomal RNA (497 nucleotides) under uncultured bacterium. RNAcentral describes it as "partial 16S ribosomal RNA". It matches the Rfam family "Bacterial small subunit ribosomal RNA", at positions 28 to 507 of the family's 1533-position model. The record is from RNAcentral.